Molecule: ribosomal RNA, 492 nt
Filed under: uncultured bacterium
Lineage: Bacteria
Description: partial 16S ribosomal RNA
Rfam family: Bacterial small subunit ribosomal RNA
Source: RNAcentral
AGUGAACGCUGGCGGUAGGCCUAACACAUGCAAGUCGAACGGCAGCACAGUAAGAGCUUGCUCUUACGGGUGGCGAGUGGCGGACGGGUGAGGAAUACAUCGGAAUCUACUUUUUCGUGGGGGAUAACGUAGGGAAACUUACGCUAAUACCGCAUACGACCUACGGGUGAAAGCAGGGGAUCUUCGGACCUUGCGCGAUUGAAUGAGCCGAUGUCGGAUUAGCUAGUUGGCGGGGUAAAGGCCCACCAAGGCGACGAUCCGUAGCUGGUCUGAGAGGAUGAUAAGCUACCCUGGAACUGAGACACCGUCCAGGCUCCUCCGGGAGGCACCCGUGGGGAAUGUGGGACAAUGGGCGCAAGCCUGAUCCAGCCCUCCCGCGUGGGUGAAGAAGGCCUUCUGGUUUUAAAGCCCUUUUGUUGGGAAAGAAAAGCAGCAGAUUGAUACCCCGCUGUUCUGACGGUGCCCAAAGAAUAAGCACCGGCUCACUUCGUG